This 41-nucleotide ribosomal RNA is filed under the name Trichoderma viride. Its description in RNAcentral is "partial 28S ribosomal RNA". Lineage: Eukaryota; Fungi; Ascomycota; Sordariomycetes; Hypocreales; Hypocreaceae. The record is from RNAcentral.
GAAUACCCGCUGAACUUAAGCAUAUCAUACGGCGGAGGAAA